AACAUGCCUAUCGGUACGGAAUAGCCCCGGGAAACUGGGAAUAAUACCGUAUACGUCCUAUGGGAGAAAGAUUUAUCGCCGAUAGAUUGGCCCGCGUUAGAUUAGCUUGUUGGUGAGGUAAUGGCUCACCAAGGCGACGAUCUAUAGCUGGUUUGAGAGGAUGAUCAGCCACACUGGGACUGAGACACGGCCCAGACUCCUACGGGAGGCAGCAGUGGGGAAUCUUAGACAAUGGGCGCAAGCCUGAUCUAGCCAUUCCGCGUGAAUGAUGAAGGCCUUAGGGUUGUAAAAUUCUUUCAGCUGGGAAGAUAAUGACUGUACCAGCAGAAGAAGCCCCGGCUAACUCCGUGCCAGCAGCCGCGGUAAUACGGAGGGGGCUAGCGUUGUUCGGAAUUACUGGGCGUAAAGCGCACGUAGGCGGAUUAUCAAGUUGGGGGUGAAAUCCCGGGGCUCAACCUCGGAACGGCCUCCAAAACUGAUAGUCUAGAAUCCAGGAGAGGUGUGUGGAAUUCCGAGUGUAGAGGUGAAAUUCGUAGAUAUUCGGAGGAACACCAGAGGCGAAGGCGACACACUGGACUGGUAUUGACGCUGAGGUGCGAAAGCGUGGGGA
Molecule: ribosomal RNA, 610 nt
Filed under: Paracoccus sp. SWB3
Lineage: Bacteria; Pseudomonadati; Pseudomonadota; Alphaproteobacteria; Rhodobacterales; Paracoccaceae
Description: bacterial SSU rRNA
Rfam family: Bacterial small subunit ribosomal RNA
Source: RNAcentral